UUGGAGGGCAAGUCUGGUGCCAGCAGCCGCGGUAAUUCCAGCUCCAAUAGCGUAUAUUAAAGUUGUUGCAGUUAAAAAGCUCGUAGUUGAAUUUCGGGAUCAGUAUGUUGGUCGUGCUUCGGUACGUACUGUCAUUACUGGUUUCUCCCUUCUGAAGAACCUUGAUGUCAUUAAUUUGGUGUCUUGGGGAAUCAGGACUGUUACUUUGAAAAAAUUAGAGUGUUUAAAGCAGGCAUACGCUUGAAUACAUUAGCAUGGAAUAAUGAAAUAGGACGUUUGAUUCUAUUUUGUUGGUUUCUAGGAUCGACGUAAUGAUUAAUAGGGAUAGUUGGGGGCAUUAGUAUUCAAUUGUCAGAGGUGAAAUUCUUGGAUUUAUUGAAGACUAACUACUGCGAAAGCAUUUGCCAAGGAUGUUUUCAUUAAUCAAGAACGAAAGUUAGGGGAUCGAAGACGAUCAGAUACCGUCGUAGUCUUAACCAUAAACUAUGCCGACUAGGGAUCGGAUGAUGUUAUUUUUAAUGACUCAUUCGGCGCCUUACGGGAAAC
RNAcentral lists this ribosomal RNA (546 nucleotides) under uncultured Glomus. RNAcentral describes it as "SSU rRNA". It matches the Rfam family "Eukaryotic small subunit ribosomal RNA", at positions 548 to 1098 of the family's 1831-position model. The record is from RNAcentral. Lineage: Eukaryota; Fungi; Glomeromycota; Glomeromycetes; Glomerales; Glomeraceae.